Molecule: ribosomal RNA, 141 nt
Filed under: uncultured bacterium
Lineage: Bacteria
Description: partial 16S ribosomal RNA
Rfam family: Bacterial small subunit ribosomal RNA
Source: RNAcentral
AGGCAGCAGUGGGGAAUCUUAGACAAUGGGCGCAAGCCUGAUCUAGCCAUGCCGCGUGAGCGAUGAAGGCCUUAGGGUUGUAAAGCUCUUUCAGUGGGGAAGAUAAUGACUGUACCCACAGAAGAAGCCCCGGCUAACUCC